GUGUCAGCAGCCGCGGUAAAACGUAGGACACGAGCGUUAUCCGGAGUUACUGGGCGUAAAGGGCGUGCAGGCGGCAGUGGAAGUCUGGUGUGAAAGCUCCUGGCUCAACCGGGAGAGGACACUGGAGACUCCACAGCUAGAGGCAGAUAGAGGGGUGUAGAAUUCCGGGUGUAGUGGUGAAAUGCGUAGAGAUCCGGAGGAAUACCAGAAGCGAAGGCGGCACCCUGGGUCUGACCUGACGCUGAGACGCGACAGCAUGGGGAGCGAACGGGAUUAGAAACCCUCGUAGUCC
RNAcentral lists this ribosomal RNA (292 nucleotides) under uncultured bacterium. RNAcentral's name for it is "partial 16S ribosomal RNA". It matches the Rfam family "Bacterial small subunit ribosomal RNA", at positions 505 to 796 of the family's 1533-position model. The record is from RNAcentral.